UGAACGCUAGCGACAGGCUUAACACAUGCAAGUCGAGGGGUAACAGGGUAGCAAUACCGCUGACGACCGGCGCACGGGUGAGUAACGCGUAUGCAACCUGCCUAUAACUGGGGAAUAGCUCCCUGAAAGGGGAAUUAACACCGCAUAACACUAUUGAUUCGCAUGGAUUAGUAGUUAAAUGUAGCGAUACAGGUUAUAGAUGGGCAUGCGUGACAUUAGCUAGUUGGUGAGGUAACGGCUCACCAAGGCUACGAUGUCUAGGGGUUCUGAGAGGAAGGUCCCCCACACUGGUACUGAGACACGGACCAGACUCCUACGGAGGCAGCAGUGAGGAAUAUUGGUCAAUGGGCGCAAGCCUGAACCAGCCGUGUCGCGUGCAGGAAGACUGCCCCCUAUGGGUUGUAAACUGCUUUUAUAGUAGAAGAAACACAUCUACGUGUAGAUGUCUGCCUAGUAUACUAUGAAUAAGCAUCGGCUAACUCCGUGCCAGCAGCAGC
This 497-nucleotide ribosomal RNA is filed under the name uncultured bacterium. RNAcentral's name for it is "bacterial SSU rRNA". It matches the Rfam family "Bacterial small subunit ribosomal RNA", at positions 30 to 518 of the family's 1533-position model. The record is from RNAcentral.